This 64-nucleotide small nuclear RNA is filed under the name Coturnix japonica (Japanese quail). Lineage: Eukaryota; Metazoa; Chordata; Aves; Galliformes; Phasianidae. The record is from RNAcentral.
GCGCUCGCUUUGGUAGAACAUAUACUAAAAUUGGAAUGAUACAGAGAAGAUUAGCAUGGCCCCU